This is a long non-coding RNA of Gossypium arboreum, 449 nucleotides long. RefSeq lists it as uncharacterized. Lineage: Eukaryota; Viridiplantae; Streptophyta; Magnoliopsida; Malvales; Malvaceae. The record is from RefSeq and is a predicted model, not a curated record. The transcript has 2 exons.
CCAUUUUAUUUUUUAUUUCUAUUGUUUUUCAAACAAAAAGAAGCAGAAUGCUUUUUCUUCCCUACUCCCUCUCCAUUUUUGCUAGGAAUUCAACCUAGUUUGUGCCACCAUGGAGGAUCAUCGAUGCCACGCACCUCCACCCCACCGCUGGUUCACAGAUCAAAAUCAGGUAUAGCUGCGAAAAUCUCGAAAUCGAGAAGCGUGGUGGAGUGGGAUGCUGGUGAGAGGCGUGCGGCGCGAGGACUGCUCUUGUUUGGGGUUUGCUGGUACCUGGGUCAACUGAUUUGGGUGUUGGGUUAUUUAUGUACUGGCCUAGAGUUUGGUUUAAAUGGUUAAUGGGUUUGUUUUUAUAUUUUGGAUUUUAAAUAUUUGGGUCUGGACCAGGAAUGAAUUGGGACCAACAUUUAAUAUUUUUAUAUAUUUUAUAGUUUUUUAUGAUUUUUAUAAAA